AAUGAACGUUGGCGGCGUGGAUUAGGCAUGCGAGUCGAGCGUGUACCCCAAGGGGGAAAGCGGCAAACGGGGUAGGAAUGAGUAGGUAACGUACCCCUCGGUCGGGGAUAGCCACGGGAAACUGUGGGUAAUACCCGAUAACGCCGAGAGGCCAAAGGUGUGAUUCCACCGGGGGAGCGGCCUGCUUAGUAUUAGCUAGUUGGUAAGGUAAUGGCUUACCAAGGCUAAGAUGCUUAGGGGAUGUGAGAGCAUGAUCCCCACCACUGGGACUGAGAUACUGCCCAGACACCUACGGGUGGCUGCAGUCGAGAAUCUUCGGCAAUGGGGGCAACCCUGACCGAGCGACGCCGCGUGUGGGAUGAAGGCCCUUGGGUUGUAAACCACUGUCAGAGGGGAUGAAACGGUAGAGGGUUCUCCCUUUACCUUGACAUAGCCUCAGAGGAAGCACGGGCUAAGUUCGUGCCAGCAGCCGCAGUAACAC
RNAcentral lists this ribosomal RNA (481 nucleotides) under uncultured bacterium. Its description in RNAcentral is "bacterial SSU rRNA". It matches the Rfam family "Bacterial small subunit ribosomal RNA", at positions 29 to 526 of the family's 1533-position model. The record is from RNAcentral.